CCUACGGGAGGCAGCAGUGAGGAAUAUUGGACAAUGGAGGCAACUCUGAUCCAGCCAUGCCGCGUGCAGGAAGACGGCCCUACGGGUUGUAAACUGCUUUUAUACAGGAAGAAUUGUACCUACGUGUAGGUACUUGACGGUACUGUAAGAAUAAGGAUCGGCUAACUCCGUGCCAGCAGCCGCGGUAAUACGGAGGAUCCAAGCGUUAUCCGGAAUUAUUGGGUUUAAAGGGUCCGUAGGCGGUUUUUUAAGUCAGAGGUGAAAUCCUGCAGCUCAACUGUAGCAUUGCCUUUGAUACUGAAAGACUUGAGUUAUUGUGAAGUAGUUAGAAUGCGUAGUGUAGCGGUGAAAUGCAUAGAUAUUACACAGAAUACCGAUUGCGAAAGCAGAUUGCUAACAAUAUACUGACGCUGAGGGACGAAAGCGUGGGUAGCGAACAGGAUUAGAUACCCUGGUAGUCCACGCCGUAAACGAUGGAUACUAGCUGUUCGAUCAACAUUGGUUGAUUGAGUGGUUAAGCGAAAGUGAUAAGUAUCCCACCUGGGGAGUACGCUCGCAAGAGUGAAACUCAAAGGAAUUGACGG
RNAcentral lists this ribosomal RNA (584 nucleotides) under uncultured Flavobacteriaceae bacterium. RNAcentral describes it as "bacterial SSU rRNA". It matches the Rfam family "Bacterial small subunit ribosomal RNA", at positions 338 to 916 of the family's 1533-position model. Lineage: Bacteria; Pseudomonadati; Bacteroidota; Flavobacteriia; Flavobacteriales; Flavobacteriaceae. The record is from RNAcentral.